This 229-nucleotide ribosomal RNA is filed under the name uncultured bacterium. RNAcentral's name for it is "partial 16S ribosomal RNA". It matches the Rfam family "Bacterial small subunit ribosomal RNA", at positions 568 to 796 of the family's 1533-position model. The record is from RNAcentral.
CGUGUAGGCGGUUUGGCAAGUCAGGUGUGAAAGCCCUGGGCUUAACUCAGGAAGUGCACUUGAAACUACCUCACUUGAGCAUGGGAGAGGAGAGUGGAAUUCCCAGUGUAGAGGUGAAAUUCGUAGAUAUUGGGAGGAACACCCGUGGCGAAGGCGACUCUCUGGACCAAUACUGACGCUGAGACGCGAAAGCGUGGGGAGCAAACAGGAUUAGAUACCCUGGUAGUCC